RNAcentral lists this ribosomal RNA (448 nucleotides) under uncultured bacterium. RNAcentral describes it as "bacterial SSU rRNA". It matches the Rfam family "Bacterial small subunit ribosomal RNA", at positions 328 to 792 of the family's 1533-position model. The record is from RNAcentral.
AGCCCAGACUCCUACGGGAGGCAGCAGUGGGGGAUAUUGCACAAUGGGGGAAACCCUGAUGCAGCGACACCGCGUGGGUGAGGAAGCGCUUCGGCGUGUAAAGCCCUAUCAGUGGGGAAGAAAAAGGACGGUACCCAAAGAAGAAGCCCCGGCUAACUACGUGCCAGCAGCCGCGGUAAUACGUAGGGGGCAAGCGUUAUCCGGAUUUACUGGGUGUAAAGGGGGCGCAGACGGCGAUGCAAGCCAGGAGUGAAAGCCCGGGGCCCAACCCCGGGACUGCUCUUGGAGCUGCGUGGCUGGAGUGCAGGAGGGGCAGGCGGAAUUCCUGGUGUAGCGGUGAAAUGCGUAGAUAUCAGGAGGAACACCGGUGGCGAAGGCGGCCUGCUGGACCGCGACUGACGUUGAGGCUCGAAAGCGUGGGGAGCGAACAGGAUUAGAUACCCGGGUA